RNAcentral lists this unclassified non-coding RNA (297 nucleotides) under uncultured fungus. RNAcentral's name for it is "partial contains 5.8S ribosomal RNA, internal transcribed spacer 2, and large subunit ribosomal RNA". The stretch from base 1 to 52 matches the Rfam family "5.8S ribosomal RNA", at positions 103 to 154 of the family's 154-position model. Lineage: Eukaryota; Fungi. The record is from RNAcentral.
AACGCACCUUGCGCUCCUUGGUAUUCCGAGGAGCAUGCCUGUUUGAGUGUCAUUAAAUUCUCAACCUCACCAGUUUUCUGAACUGACUGAGGCUUGGAUGUGGGGGUUUGUGCAGGCUGCCUCACCGGCGGUCUGCUCCCCUGAAAUGCAUUAGCGAGGUUCAUGCUGGACCUCCGUCUAUUGGUGUGAUAAUUAUCUACGCCGUGGACGAGGAUACAGACUCGCUUCUAACCGUCCGCGAGGACAAUACCUUGACAAUUUGACCUCAAAUCAGGUAGGACUACCCGCUGAACUUAA